Molecule: transfer RNA, 76 nt
Filed under: Robiginitomaculum sp.
Lineage: Bacteria; Pseudomonadati; Pseudomonadota; Alphaproteobacteria; Maricaulales; Robiginitomaculaceae
Description: tRNA-OTHER
Rfam family: tRNA
About the family: Transfer RNA (tRNA) molecules are approximately 80 nucleotides in length. Their secondary structure includes four short double-helical elements and three loops (D, anti-codon, and T loops).
Source: RNAcentral
UUUGAUGUAGCUCAUCAGGAUAGAGCAAUAGACUUUAAUCUAUGUGUAGCGGGUUCGAUUCCCGCCUUCAAAACCA